Molecule: long non-coding RNA, 903 nt
Organism: Betta splendens (Siamese fighting fish)
Lineage: Eukaryota; Metazoa; Chordata; Actinopteri; Anabantiformes; Osphronemidae
Exons: 4
Source: RefSeq, a predicted model, not a curated record
GGGACGUGGAGCGGUGCUGCCUCUUCUCCCUCUCAGCGUGAGACCUGCCAGGAAGGAUCUCAUUUCAGACGGAGGACGUUCUCCCUUGGUUCAUAAGAGGAAAAAAGCAGGACGUGACGCAGCCAGCUGCUUGUGGCGGGACAGGAUCUCAUUCAGCUCAGCCAGGCCCUGAGCAGAGCCAAUAAUGGCCACUGCAUAGAUUAGUAAUAAAGAUGUGGCCAACAAAGAAAAGCAUGCAGCGCAGAGGAGGGCAGUUGCCGUAGCAACCAUGUAACACAAUGAGAAGGAGAGGAGUCAGCCAUUAUGGGCAGAUUCUAUGAUUUAUGAAACCUUCAUUGCCUGGAGCUGGAAUAAAUGUCGUGCCUGAUUCAUGAGCAUCAUCACAAUUCAUCUUUCCAUCCCCCAACAUCUGCACCAAAGCCUACAGAUGGCAACAAAUGCCUGCGCUCAGGAAUCCAUGAUGUGCCAAGAGCUGUGGAGCAGAAAACGCUGCAGAAGAACACGCACACAAGCAAACGCGGACGCAAACCGGGGCUGUGCUUCAAGUUGUGGACUCCACAUUAGAAACAAAAAGCAGAUUAUGACAUGGGGGAAAUGAAAAGAAAUGUCUCAAACUGAUAGCGGAUAAAUAAAUCUCUUCUGUAAAUGCAGAGUAGUUGCCUGUUACUGUAUGAACCUAGUGGUGACUAAGUUGUGAUACAAGCCUCUCAUCUCUGCUACUCUCUAUUCAUCUUUGAGCCUGCUGCUUUCCUGUUCAUCACUACCUCACCGACCAUAUCACCAAGUCGCUCCCACUCUCUAGCUCUGUCCCUCUUUCUCUCUCGGGCUCUCUUGUUGUGCACUGAUGCGGUGAAUAGACCCUUGGCUUGGCUCCAGAUUCGGUGUCCUAAUCGACACGAGAGC